This 74-nucleotide transfer RNA is filed under the name Planctomycetaceae bacterium. RNAcentral describes it as "tRNA-Met". It matches the Rfam family "tRNA". From Rfam's summary of the family: Transfer RNA (tRNA) molecules are approximately 80 nucleotides in length. The record is from RNAcentral. RNAcentral also lists the same sequence under 1 other name. Lineage: Bacteria; Pseudomonadati; Planctomycetota; Planctomycetia; Planctomycetales; Planctomycetaceae.
CGCGGGGUGGGGCAGCCGGUCAGCCCGCGAGGCUCAUAACCUCGAGGUCGCAGGUUCGAAUCCUGCCCCCGCAA